This 253-nucleotide ribosomal RNA is filed under the name uncultured bacterium. RNAcentral's name for it is "partial 16S ribosomal RNA". It matches the Rfam family "Bacterial small subunit ribosomal RNA", at positions 524 to 776 of the family's 1533-position model. The record is from RNAcentral.
UACAGAGGGUGCGAGCGUUAAUCGGAUUUACUGGGCGUAAAGCGUGUGUAGGUGGCUACCUAAGUCGAUUGUGAAAUCCCUGGGCUCAACCUGGGAAUUGCAGUCGAUACUGGGGAGCUCGAGCUCGGUAGAGGACGGCGGAAUUCCCGGUGUAGCGGUGAAAUGCGUAGAUAUCAGGAGGAACACCGAUGGCGAAGGCAGGUCUCUGGGCAUUAACUGACGCUGAGGAGCGAAAGCAUGGGGAGCGAACAGG